RNAcentral lists this ribosomal RNA (522 nucleotides) under bacterium Ag-m37. RNAcentral describes it as "bacterial SSU rRNA". It matches the Rfam family "Bacterial small subunit ribosomal RNA", at positions 988 to 1509 of the family's 1533-position model. The record is from RNAcentral.
AAUUUCGGAAGCCGUAGAGAUACGGCCCCCCUUGUGGUCGGUAUACAGGUGGUGCAUGGCUGUCGUCAGCUCGUGUCGUGAGAUGUUGGGUUAAGUCCCGCAACGAGCGCAACCCUUGUCCUGUGUUGCCAGCGCGUAAUGGCGGGGACUCGCAGGAGACUGCCGGGGUCAACUCGGAGGAAGGUGGGGACGACGUCAAGUCAUCAUGCCCCUUAUGUCCAGGGCUUCACACAUGCUACAAUGGCCGGUACAGAGGGCUGCGAUACCGUGAGGUGGAGCGAAUCCCUUAAAGCCGGUCUCAGUUCGGAUCGGGGUCUGCAACUCGACCCCGUGAAGUCGGAGUCGCUAGUAAUCGCAGAUCAGCAACGCUGCGGUGAAUACGUUCCCGGGCCUUGUACACACCGCCCGUCACGUCAUGAAAGUCGGUAACACCCGAAGCCGGUGGCCUAACCCUUGUGGAGGGAGCCGUCGAAGGUGGGAUCGGCGAUUGGGACGAAGUCGUAACAAGGUAGCCGUAAAACC